RNAcentral lists this transfer RNA (73 nucleotides) under Bos taurus (domestic cattle). It matches the Rfam family "tRNA". Rfam says of the family: Transfer RNA (tRNA) molecules are approximately 80 nucleotides in length. Their secondary structure includes four short double-helical elements and three loops (D, anti-codon, and T loops). Lineage: Eukaryota; Metazoa; Chordata; Mammalia; Artiodactyla; Bovidae. RNAcentral also lists the same sequence under 2 other names. The record is from Rfam by way of RNAcentral.
UCUCUGGGGGUCCAGUGGUUAGGACUCUGCCCUGUCGUUGCUGAGGGCCUGGGUUCAAUCCCUGGUCAGGGAA